GUUGUGGCUCAGUGGGAGAGUGCUUGCCUGGCAUGUGUGAGGCCCUGGGUUCAAUCCUCAGCACCACA
This 68-nucleotide transfer RNA is filed under the name Marmota monax (woodchuck). Its description in RNAcentral is "tRNA.Ala". The stretch from base 3 to 63 matches the Rfam family "tRNA", at positions 6 to 65 of the family's 71-position model. Rfam says of the family: Transfer RNA (tRNA) molecules are approximately 80 nucleotides in length. The record is from RNAcentral. Lineage: Eukaryota; Metazoa; Chordata; Mammalia; Rodentia; Sciuridae.